AGAGUUUGAUUAUGGCUCAGGAUGAACGCUGGCGGCGUGCUUAACACAUGCAAGUCGAACGGACUUAUAUGAAGCCUAGCGAUUAUAAAGUUAGUGGCGGACGGGUGAGUAACGCGUGGGUAACCUGCCGUAUGCCGGGGGACAACAGUUGGAAACGACUGCUAAUACCGCAUAAGCGCACAGAGAGGCAUCUCUCAGUGUGAAAAACUCCGGUGGCAUACGAUGGACCCGCGUCUGAUUAGGCAGUUGGCGAGGUAACGGCUCACCAAACCUACGAUCAGUAGCCGGCCUGAGAGGGUGAACGGCCACAUUGGGACUGAGACACGGCCCAAACUCCUACGGGAGGCAGCAGUGGGAAUAUUGCACAAUGGGGGAAACCCUGAUGCAGCGACGCCGCGUGAGUGAAGAAGUAUUUCGGUAUGUAAAGCUCUAUCAGCAGGAAAGAAAAUGACGGUACCUGACUAAGAAGCCCCGGCUAACUACGUGCCAGCCGCGGC
RNAcentral lists this ribosomal RNA (497 nucleotides) under uncultured bacterium. Its description in RNAcentral is "bacterial SSU rRNA". It matches the Rfam family "Bacterial small subunit ribosomal RNA", at positions 8 to 518 of the family's 1533-position model. The record is from RNAcentral.